UUGAAGUUGACAUCAAAUAAAAUAUUUCAAAAAAGCUGUCAUUUAUGUUUAAAGCUGAAUAUUUAAAGAAGAUUUUAGUUUUGUUCAAUUGGUAUCAGAUGACUUAUUAUUUGCCUUGUAUUACAUUGAUCUACUUCUUAGUAAAAAUGGAAAGAUAUUUUUGUUUCAAAUCUGAUUUUGUGAAGCUAUAUUCUUGAUAAUAUAUUAUUUGAGAUAAAUUCAAGAAAUUAAUAUCUUUUCUAAAAUUAAUAGCUUAAUAGCUUUUGUGAAAAGGAUG
Molecule: long non-coding RNA, 277 nt
Filed under: Elaeis guineensis (African oil palm)
Lineage: Eukaryota; Viridiplantae; Streptophyta; Magnoliopsida; Arecales; Arecaceae
Description: long non-coding RNA (EGUI_LNC075491)
Source: RNAcentral